UGCUUUACUUAAUCUUACUCAAGAUCAGGGUAAUAAUAUAUUCGAGUUCAAGAAUUUCUCAGAUAGGGAGAUUUGCAGGGACUUUGUAGGUGAGGUUGGUGACCAAGAUGAAAAGCUGGCAGAAGGUAUCAAGCUUUAUGCUAUACCAACCACCUCAACUACAAAGCGGUCAAUGCUUGAUUUGAUACAUUUUAUAACACUGUUUCGACAAUUUUAAUCUCAAGUACAACCCUUGUGGACAGAGUCAACUCAUAGUGAUCUUCUUAAAGCAAGACAAUUUGAUUCAAGGUCGUUUCUUGGGAGAAUUACGAAGAAAGUUUUAUCCGAUCUUGUGAUUUCAGGUCGUUUCCUCUCACAACUCCGUCAACGAAGCACCAUCCAAAUUACCUGCGAUCGUCUUCAUUGUCAUUCAGCGUUGAUAGCUGAAAGACACGAGGGUACAUGCACCAGUUGGUCUCUGUCCCGAUUGUUUCAAAGGUGGCUGAUUCUGGAUAGGAAAAUCCAUCGCUCUUUGUGGUUGAAAUGGCGAAGAUUCAUCAAUUAUUUGAGCUCUUUAGACGUGUUAGACUUCUUGGAUAGAUUUCUUGCCAUCAAUCCAGACUUCAUAUAUUGCUUCAUUAGCGCGUGCUCUUAUAUAUUGUCAUGGGAAGCAUGUUAUUAACAGAGAUAUAAAACCGGAGAACCUUUUUGUUGGUGCAUAGGGUGACUUAAAAGAUUGCGGAUUUUGGUUGGUCUAUGCACACAUUCAAUCGUAGGCAGACCAUGUGUGCUACCCUAGAUUAUCUCCCGCCUGAAAUGGUGGAGAGUGCUGAGCAUGAUGCAAGUGUAGACAUAUGGAGUCUUGGUAUUUUGUAAAGUUCGUUCCUUCUUUGAUUUUUAUUGUUAAUGUAAUCAAUUUGUGUUAAGUUUUAUUUCUUUUCGACAUCGUUGAAGGGUGUGAGAACAUAGACAUAGGGUUAGAUCUGGCGAAAUACUUCAGAGGAUUUUUGGACGUGGUUCUUGAUUUCCUUGAUUUUUGGUUCCGGUAAUAAACAUUCAACCGCAUCUGUUGUUGAUUAUUUUAACUUUGUUGUUUUUGUGUUUUAGCCUUGCUGAAUCAACAAACUUUUGAUUACCUGAGUUUCAAGAUUUUAAUUGCUGGCGAUGGUAUUCUUAAUACGUGAUGCAACAAGGUUGAAAAAUUUUAUUUUGUUCAGUUCUGCUUGGGCAUGCUAGCAAUGAACAUUUUAUACAACCACAUAUCUCUGUUCGUAUAUAUGAAUUUAACAUGGGUGACACGAUUAUUAGCGUUAUAAAGAGAAAGGCGAGCUAUCUUGACCAAACAUUUGCAAAUGGGAACUCGAUGCAAAAAUACAAUUUGGGUAAAUUAAAUGGGUCAAUGCAUGCUUUUGGUGCAUUAGGAUCAACCGCUUCAAGAAUUGAAAACACUAUCCGGCCCAUAAUUUCUAUGGGAUCAUGAGGUAGCUGAUGCUAGAGGUGAUGUCCCUUUUUAAUUGAAGCACUUGCUUUGAAAGAAGAGACGAAAGCAUGCUGUGAAAUUUAUGUUUCAUAAUUGUCUUAGUGAGGUUUUAGUUUCAUGUCUUCAUGCUUGGGAACCUAACUUCUCAGUUGACGGAGAGCUUACUAUAGGGAAAAAGACUGCCUUUUAUGAGAUCAAUCUACACAUCUUCUAAGCACAUCGUUAUUGCUAUAUUUCAAGGUUAUCAUGAAUAAAGAUGGCACAUUGCAGGCAACUUCUGGUGUUGAGGAUUUGGCAUUGCUGAAGACAACAUAAUGGGGGACUCAAUUAUUAAUAAGCUCAAAGAAAAGAUGAAGAUUACUGAGUAAAGAUGGUGAAAGAAGACAUUGGGUAGGGGUUGGGGUCCAUAUGUAUUUUUUAAUCUUUUAAUAUUUUAGUUGUUAUUUUUUUAAUAGUAAGGGCAUUUUUGUCAUUUCACACCCACUUAACACAAAAAAACUAACCUCCAUCUAUGCCAGGGACUAUCCGGGAAAGAAAUUGAAAAAGUUGAGGACUAUUGCUGUACUUUUAGAAAGUUAGGGACUAAAGGUGAAAAAUGGAUAAACCACAGGGACUAUCCGGCCAUUUUUAUCUACCCUUCCAUAAAAAUUUUGUUCAAAAUCAAAUGAGAAAUAUAAUGGACUUUUUUCU
This 2149-nucleotide long non-coding RNA is filed under the name Helianthus annuus (common sunflower). Its description in RNAcentral is "hypothetical non coding rna". The record is from RNAcentral. Lineage: Eukaryota; Viridiplantae; Streptophyta; Magnoliopsida; Asterales; Asteraceae.